UACACUCCUGCGGGAGGCAGCAGUGGGGAAUAUUGGACAAUGGGCGCAAGCCUGAUCCAGCCAUGCCGCGUGAGUGAUGAAGGCCCUAGGGUUGUAAAGCUCUUUCACCGGUGAAGAUAAUGACGGUAACCGGAGAAGAAGCCCCGGCUAACUUCGUGCCAGCAGCCGCGGUAAUACGAAGGGGGCUAGCGUUGUUCGGAUUUACUGGGCGUAAAGCGCACGUAGGCGGACUAUUAAGUCAGGGGUGAAAUCCCGGGGCUCAACCCCGGAACUGCCUUUGAUACUGGUAGUCUUGAGUUCGAGAGAGGUGAGUGGAAUUCCGAGUGUAGAGGUGAAAUUCGUAGAUAUUCGGAGGAACACCAGUGGCGAAGGCGGCUCACUGGCUCGAUACUGACGCUGAGGUGCGAAAGCGUGGGGAGCAAACAGGAUUAGAAACCCCUGUAGUCCC
Molecule: ribosomal RNA, 448 nt
Filed under: uncultured organism
Description: partial 16S ribosomal RNA
Rfam family: Bacterial small subunit ribosomal RNA
Source: RNAcentral